This is a long non-coding RNA of Heteronotia binoei (common prickly gecko), 234 nucleotides long. RefSeq lists it as uncharacterized. NCBI's taxonomy places the organism in Eukaryota, Metazoa, Chordata, Lepidosauria, Squamata, Gekkonidae. The record is from RefSeq and is a predicted model, not a curated record. The transcript has 4 exons.
AAAACAGAAUUUCAGCAAGAGAUUGAUAGAGGCAUCCAGCACCUUUCUGAAAGAAAUCUGCAGCGCCUCCUGCGAGCAGAUCCGGUUUCGACCUUAUGAAGUGGCAGAGUGUAGGGACUGCCACCUGCUCAAAGCACCCUGCAACGAUUCCUUAUUAUGUGCAGGGCCCAACGUUCUUGCGGGUGUGCUGGUGACCCUUGUGAUCCUGCUUGCUGCUGGUGUUGGAGUGUGGUA